Molecule: ribosomal RNA, 271 nt
Filed under: uncultured prokaryote
Description: partial 16S ribosomal RNA
Rfam family: Bacterial small subunit ribosomal RNA
Source: RNAcentral
UACGGAGGAUCCGAGCGUUAUCCGGAUUUAUUGGGUUUAAAGGGUGCGCAGGCGGGAGAUUAAGUCGGCGGUGAAAUUUUGCAGCUCAACUGUAAAAGUGCCUUCGAAACUGGUUUCCUUGAGUGUAGAUGAAGUAGGCGGAAUUUGUGGUGUAGCGGUGAAAUGCAUAGAUAUCACGAGGAACUCCGAUUGCGCAGGCAGCUUACUAAACUACUACUGACGCUCAGGCACGAAGGCGUGGGGAUCAAACAGGAUUAGAUACCCCCGUAGU